UGAAUUCAUAGGUGAGUGAGAGGCAGACCAGGGGAACUGAAACAUCUAAGUACCCUGAGGAAGAGAAAACAAUAGUGAUUCCGUCAGUAGCGGCGAGCGAACGCGGAUUAGCCCAAACCAAGGAGCUUGCUCCUUGGGGUUGUGGGACGUCUCACAUGGAGUUACAAAGGAACCGGUUAGAUGAAGAGGUCUGGAAAGGCCCGCCAGAGAAGGUAAAAGCCCUGUAGUUCAAAAC
Molecule: ribosomal RNA, 235 nt
Filed under: Paenibacillus polymyxa
Lineage: Bacteria; Bacillati; Bacillota; Bacilli; Caryophanales; Paenibacillaceae
Description: partial 23S ribosomal RNA
Rfam family: Bacterial large subunit ribosomal RNA
Source: RNAcentral